GAUGAACGCUGGCGGCGUGCUUAACACAUGCAAGUCGAGCGGUAAGGCCCUUUCGGGGGUACGACGAGCGGCGAACGGGUGAGUAACACGUGGGUGACCUGCCCUCAGCUCUGGGAUAAGCCUGGGAAACCGGGUCUAAUACCGGAUAUGACUCCAUGACGCAUGUUGUGGGGUGGAAAGCCUUGUGCGGCUGAGGAUGGGCCCGCGGCCUAUCAGCUUGUUGGUGGGGUGAGGCCUACCAAGGCGACGACGGGUAGCCGGCCUGAGAGGGCGACCGGCCACACUGGGACUGAGACACGGCCCAGACUCCUACGGGAGGCAGCAGUGGGGAAGUCUUGCGCAAUGGGCGAAAGCCUGACGCAGCGACGCCGCGUGAGGGAU
This 381-nucleotide ribosomal RNA is filed under the name uncultured bacterium. RNAcentral's name for it is "bacterial SSU rRNA". It matches the Rfam family "Bacterial small subunit ribosomal RNA", at positions 28 to 409 of the family's 1533-position model. The record is from RNAcentral.